Molecule: long non-coding RNA, 208 nt
Filed under: Nicotiana benthamiana
Lineage: Eukaryota; Viridiplantae; Streptophyta; Magnoliopsida; Solanales; Solanaceae
Description: long non-coding RNA (NBEN_LNC035382)
Source: RNAcentral
UUAAACAUUUAUGGAUUAGGUUGCACGUCGCACCGUGUGUGUAUAUAUAUGUAUAUAUGUAUAUAUAUAUUGAUCGGGUUGCACGUCGUAGCGAUAUAGGGCUUGGGUUGUAGGAGCCCCUUCGGAGUCUGCACACCCCCAACGAACGCAGUCGAGUAUAUAUUUAUGGAUCGGGCUGCACACCGCAGCAGUUAUUAUAAGGUACCUA